Molecule: transfer RNA, 57 nt
Filed under: Dendropoma gregarium
Lineage: Eukaryota; Metazoa; Mollusca; Gastropoda; Littorinimorpha; Vermetidae
Description: tRNA-Gln
Source: RNAcentral
ACAUUUUUAUGCGGUGUUAGAGCACAUAGAGUUUUGAUUUCUACAGAGCAAAGUGGU